UACGGGGGGGGCAAGCGUUGUUCGGAAUUACUGGGCGUAAAGGGCGCGUAGGCGGUUGGAUAAGUCAGCUGUGAAAACCACGGGCUUAACUCGUGGCCUGCAGUUGAGACUGUCUGGCUUGAGUGUGGGAGAGGAGAGUGGAAUUCCUGGUGUAGCGGUGAAAUGCGUAGAUAUCUGGAGGAACACCGGUGGCGAAGGCGGCAUCCUGGACCGGCAUUGACGCUGAGGCGCGAAAGCUAGGGGAGCAAACGGG
Molecule: ribosomal RNA, 253 nt
Filed under: uncultured bacterium
Lineage: Bacteria
Description: partial 16S ribosomal RNA
Rfam family: Bacterial small subunit ribosomal RNA
Source: RNAcentral